UUGUCGAAAUCUGCAAAGCAGAAUAACUUGCGAACAAGUGAAAAAUCAUGGUUGCCUUCUCAUUUGAGUUGAUCAUUGGGAGGGCGGUCUCUCAUUGUGCCCCCAAAUGUCGUCCCUCUCAUGGUCCCAAUCAACACACCUCAGCGCGGAAUGCGCCAAGGAACACGAAAAUAAGUUAUGUAGCCUCUUGCAUCGUAAAUGGUUGUGCGUGGCUUGCGUAUUUUGCUUAAUCUAAUGUUACAACGACUCUCGGCAACGGAUAUCUUGGCUCUCGCAUCGAUGAAGAACGUAGCAAAAUGCGAUAGCUGGUGUGAAUUGCAGAAUCCCGCGAACCAUCGAGUUUUUGAACGCAAGUUGCGCCUGAAGUCGUCAGGCUAAGGGCACGCCUGCCUGGGUGUCACCCUCCCCCUUGCCCAAGUAAACAUGUCUCGUCCCAUUGAAAAAUGGAAAGAGGGGUGAUGGGUGCAUGUAAUGGCCUCCCAUGACGAUGAUUUUGUGGUUGGCCCAAAAUUUUGCACAUGCAUAAGGGAAGCCACGACAAGCAUUGGCGAAAACUACGGUGAUUCAUUGAUCCUUUCUGUUGUGGCUACACUUUGUACUGUGCACUAAAAUACCUCGGUGCUUGCAUUCUAAAAUUGCGACCCCAG
RNAcentral lists this ribosomal RNA (647 nucleotides) under Parnassia grandifolia. Its description in RNAcentral is "eukaryotic LSU rRNA". The stretch from base 245 to 400 matches the Rfam family "5.8S ribosomal RNA". Lineage: Eukaryota; Viridiplantae; Streptophyta; Magnoliopsida; Celastrales; Celastraceae. The record is from RNAcentral.